Molecule: ribosomal RNA, 1086 nt
Filed under: Scorias spongiosa
Lineage: Eukaryota; Fungi; Ascomycota; Dothideomycetes; Capnodiales; Readerielliopsidaceae
Description: SSU rRNA
Rfam family: Eukaryotic small subunit ribosomal RNA
Source: RNAcentral
AGCAUGCAUGUCUAGUAUAAGCAACUAUACGGUGAAACUGCGAAUGGCUCAUUAAAUCAGUUAUCGUUUAUUUGAUAGUACCUUACUACUUGGAUAACCGUGGUAAUUCUAGAGCUAAUACAUGCUAAAAACCUCGACUUCGGAAGGGGUGUAUUUAUUAGAUAAAAAACCAAUGCCCUUCGGGGCUCUUUGGUGAAUCAUAAUAACUUAACGAAUCGCAUGGCCUUGCGCCGGCGAUGGUUCAUUCAAAUUUCUGCCCUAUCAACUUUCGAUGGUAGGAUAGUGGCCUACCAUGGUAUCAACGGGUAACGGGGAAUUAGGGUUCUAUUCCGGAGAGGGAGCCUGAGAAACGGCUACCACAUCCAAGGAAGGCAGCAGGCGCGCAAAUUACCCAAUCCCGACACGGGGAGGUAGUGACAAUAAAUACUGAUACAGGGCUCUUUUGGGUCUUGUAAUUGGAAUGAGUACAAUUUAAAUCCCUUAACGAGGAACAAUUGGAGGGCAAGUCUGGUGCCAGCAGCCGCGGUAAUUCCAGCUCCAAUAGCGUAUAUUAAAGUUGUUGCAGUUAAAAAGCUCGUAGUUGAACCUUGGGCCUGGCUGGCCGGUCCGCCUCACCGCGUGUACUGGUCCGGCCGGGCCUUUCCUUCUGGGGAGCCGCAUGCCCUUCACUGGGCGUGUCGGGGAACCAGGACUUUUACUUUGAAAAAAUUAGAGUGUUCAAAGCAGGCCUUUGCUCGAAUACAUUAGCAUGGAAUAAUAGAAUAGGACGUGUGGUUCUAUUUUGUUGGUUUCUAGGACCGCCGUAAUGAUUAAUAGGGAUAGUCGGGGGCAUCUGUAUUCAAUUGUCAGAGGUGAAAUUCUUGGAUUUAUUGAAGACAAACUACUGCGAAAGCAUUUGCCAAGGAUGUUUUCAUUAAUCAGUGAACGAAAGUUAGGGGAUCGAAGACGAUCAGAUACCGUCGUAGUCUUAACCAUAAACUAUGCCGACUAGGGAUCGGGGGAUGUAUCAUUUUGACUCCCUCGGCACCUUACGAGAAAUCAAAGUUUUGGGUUCUGGGGGGAGUAUGGUCGCAAGCUGACUAGAAA